This 440-nucleotide ribosomal RNA is filed under the name uncultured bacterium. Its description in RNAcentral is "partial 16S ribosomal RNA". It matches the Rfam family "Bacterial small subunit ribosomal RNA", at positions 338 to 795 of the family's 1533-position model. The record is from RNAcentral.
CCUACGGGUGGCAGCAGUGGGGGAUAUUGCACAUUGGGGGGAACCCUGAUGCAGCGACGCCGCGUGGGUGAAGAAGCGCCUCGGCGCGUAAAGCCCUGUCAGCAGGGAAGAAAAUGACGGUACCUGAAGAAGAAGCCCCGGCUAACGACGUGCCAGCAGCCGCGGUAAUACGUAGGGGGCACGCGUGCUCCGGAUUUACUGGGGGUAAAGGGGGCGCAGACGGCGAUGCAAGCCAGGAGUGAAAGCCCGGGGCCAAACCCCGGGACUGCUCUUGGAACUGGGGGGCUGGAGUGCAGGAGGGGCAGGCGGAAUGCCUGGUGUAGCGGUGAAAUGCGUAGAUAUCACGCAGAACCCCGAUUGCGAAGGCAGCAUGCCGGCUGCCGACUGACGCUGAAGCACGAAAGCGUGGGGAUCGAACAGGAUUAGAUACCCCUGUAGUC